Non-coding RNA from Ciona intestinalis (vase tunicate), 940 nucleotides. NCBI's taxonomy places the organism in Eukaryota, Metazoa, Chordata, Ascidiacea, Phlebobranchia, Cionidae. The record is from RefSeq and is a predicted model, not a curated record.
AAGUUUAAUAAGUAAUAUUGUUUGGUUAUUUCACAAUGGGAAAACUUUAUAGUAAAGUUGUGCUUGUCACAGCAUCUAGUCAAGGAAUUGGUUUUGCCAUCGCUCGUAAACUUGCUCAAGAUGGAGCUCAUGUUGUGAUUUGUAGCCGAAAAAAGAAAAAUGUUGAUGAAGCUGUACAGGUUUUAAAAUCUGAAGGAUUGUCUGUAUCUGGCUUUGUUUGUCAUGUCGGAAAAUCUGAUGACAGGAAAGAGCUACUCGGAAAAAUUGAAUCUGAUUUAGGUCGCCUAGAUAUACUGGUUCUUAACGCAGCAGUAAACCCAUAUUUUGGUAAUAUUCUUGGGAUUCCAGAAAAUGCCUUUGAUAAAAUAUUUGAGGUAAAUGUAAAAUCAACAUUUAUGUUUAUCAAAGAGUCAGUUUCCCUUAUGCAGAAACAUAAUGGGGGAAGUGUGGUGAUUGUGUCUUCAUUUACUGCCUACAUUCCCCAGCAUAUACUGGGAAUCUAUGCAGUCAGUAAAACAGCACUUGUAGCCCUUACUAAAGCCCUCAUGCCUGAACUUAGCUCAAUGAAUAUUAGAGUAAACUGCAUUGCACCCGGCAUCAUCAGAACAAAGUUCAGCAAAUCUUUGCUUCAACAUGAAGAAGCAGUGAGGCAGCAGGUUCCUCUGGGAAGAAUUGGGAAUCCUGAAGACUGUGCUGGGAUGGUGGCUUUCUUAAGCUCAGAUGAAGCAUCUUAUAUAACUGGUGAAACCAUUGUGAUCAAUGGAGGCAUGACUUCCAGACUCUAAAGUUUAGAGAAAUUGAUUCAUGUGCAACUAUAUUUAGGUAUUGUUUAAUUGAUACUGAGAUAAGAGAUUUUAUAUAAAUGCAUUUUUUGAUUUUAUGCACUAACCCUCUAUUGUCUUGCAAAUCUAUCUUUACGAAAUAAAUCACAAAAGCAAAC